GAGUUUGAUCCUGGCUCAGGAUUAACGCUGGCGGCAUGCCUAAAGCAUACAAGUUGAACGAGAAAAGUUUACUUUUCUAGUAGCGAACGGGUGAGUAACACGUAUCUAAUCUACCUUGAAGUUGGGGAUAACUAGUGGAAACACUAGCUAAUACCGAAUAACACAUUUCAUCGCCUGAUGAUUUGUUGAAAGGGGCCUUUAAAGCCUCGCUUCUAGAUGAAGGUGCGGCGUAUUAGCUAGUUGGAGGUGUAAAAGACCAACAAGGCAACGAUGCGUAGCUAGUCUGAGAGGACGAAUAGCCACAUUGGGACUGAGACACGGCCCAAACUCCUACGGGAGGCCGCAGCAAGGAAUUUUCCACAAUGGACGAAAGUCUGAUGGAGCAAUGCCGCGUGCACGAUGACUGCCCUCUGGGUUGUAAAGUGCUGUUAUAAAAGAGAAAAACAUGACUAGGAAAUGAGUCAUGCUUGAUAUUAUUUUAUCAGAAAGGCACGGCAAACUAUGUGCCAGCAGCCGCGGUAAUACAUAGGUGUCGAGCGUUAUCCGGAAUCACUGGGCGUAAAGGGUGCGUAGACGGUUUAAUAAGUCUAAGGUUAAAGGCGUGAGCUCAACUCACGUUUGCCUCGGAAACUAUUAAACUAGAGUUCGAUAGAGGAAUAUGGAAUUUGAUGUGUAGCGGUGAAAUGCGUAGAUAUAUCAAGGAACACCAUUAGCGAAGGCAAUAUUCUGGGUCGUAACUGACGUUGAGGCACGAAAGCGUGGGUAGCAAAUAGGAUUAGAUACCCUAGUAGUCCACGCCGUAAACAAUGAGUACUAAAGGUCGGCAUGAGUCGGUCUUCAAGUUAACACGUUAAGUACUCCGCCUGAGUAGUACGCUCGCAAGAGUGAAACUCAAAGGAAUUGACGG
Molecule: ribosomal RNA, 907 nt
Filed under: uncultured bacterium
Lineage: Bacteria
Description: bacterial SSU rRNA
Rfam family: Bacterial small subunit ribosomal RNA
Source: RNAcentral